UCUAGAAGUGUAAGCCAGAUAAACCCUUUCCUCCUCAACUUGCUUUUUGGUCAUGGUGUUUAGUCACAGCAAUAGAAACCCUAACUAAGACAAACUGGUACCAGUAUAGUGGGAUAUUGCUAUGACAGACCUGGCCAUGUUUUGGGGAGGUCUGUGGAAGGAUUUUGGAACUUUGGGCUAGAAAAACCACUCAAUGUUAAGAGCUCAUUAGGAUAUUCUCUAGGAGCUUGGAAGAUAAUGUUGAGAGCAGUGCAGAAGAUGGAGGUCUGGCUCGUGAAGUUUCAGAUGGAAGAUUAAAGGUUCUAUCAUGGCCAUUUGUUAUUUUUGAAGAUCCUAUGGUUCUGGUUAGCUGGGGCUAAAGAAUCAGCUGUGAUUAACAAGACACCAGAACUACUAAAGUGAAACUUUGCUGGGAUACUUGAUGUUGGUCAGCAGGAGCUAAGAAAUUCGUGGUGAUUAAGAGACCAACAUCACUGAGGUGAAAUAUUUUCUGGGAAGUGUUUCCUGAAAGUCAGCACACAGAAGCUGUGUCCUGGAGGUGGGCAAAGUUGUACCUUGGGUUGGCAUCAGGACUUGGUAAUGUGUGAGAGUCACCCAGGCGGUACUGGUUUUGAAGGCAUGAAGGGGUCAUGGAGAACAGCUGAGGCUCAGGACUAUGAAAAUCUAGGAGAGGCCACUGGGGAAGGUACAGCCUCACUAACAAUUAAAGGCCCAGGACUGAAGGAGUCAUGCAGAGAACUUUGAGGCUUAGCACCCUGAAGAGCACCUAUGAGAGGCUAUUGGUGAGAGUGCAGCCCGGUUGCAGCAGAAGACUCCAGCAUUUUAGAGAUUCCAGCACUUCGGGAUGACCACCAAGAACAGCAACAGCAAUGGAAUGGAGCCAGAGUGGAGCCAGCCGGGGUCUAGACAAGCUGUGUGUGCUGCAAGGGGGCGGAGCUGGAGAAGUGACCCAAGCCCCUUGGAGGAGCCCAGAAGAUGAUCAAGAUGUAGAACUCUCAUCUCCUCCAGCACCAUGUCUGCCUGCAUACCGCCUACCGUGAUGAUAACGGGACUGAACUUCUGAAACUAGUGGUGGCUUCUGCUUUCCUGGUGGUUGAUGAGGACUUUUGCACUGACUCUAAUGGAAGACACUGGUCUCUGAUUUUCCUUUUCACAGGGUCUGUUUCUGUAUUCAGGUAGUCUUGAUCUGACAAGAUCACCGAGGAAGUAUUGAUUUCCACUCUAUUUGAUGGACAAUAGUGCAUACAAUUUUAUUAAUUCCUCUUUAAAUGUUUAUAGAAAUUGUCAGUGAAAUCAACUGGCCCUAGGGCUUUUGUUGUUGCUGAUCAAAAGGUUUUAAGUAUUUAUCUAAUCUAUUGCUUUUUAGAAGGGAUCAUUCAAAUUGCCAAAUAGAAUAAAUCUGUUCUUGGGUGAGUUUCGAUUGCUUUGUUCCAAAAAUGAAUCUAUUUUUGUCUAACUUGUUGAACUUCUGUACACAGAACAUACACAAUAUUUUAAUACUAUCUUAAUAUUUAGUAAUGUUUUAAUAGUGCUCUUUUGUAAUAAUAUUUUAAUAGUAUUCUAUCGCUAAUAAAUAUCUCCUUCAAUUCCUGGUA
Molecule: long non-coding RNA, 1595 nt
Organism: Mesocricetus auratus (golden hamster)
Lineage: Eukaryota; Metazoa; Chordata; Mammalia; Rodentia; Cricetidae
Exons: 3
Source: RefSeq, a predicted model, not a curated record